This 1314-nucleotide ribosomal RNA is filed under the name Escherichia coli. RNAcentral's name for it is "partial 23S ribosomal RNA". It matches the Rfam family "Bacterial large subunit ribosomal RNA", at positions 693 to 1990 of the family's 2925-position model. Lineage: Bacteria; Pseudomonadati; Pseudomonadota; Gammaproteobacteria; Enterobacterales; Enterobacteriaceae. The record is from RNAcentral.
CGUUAAGUUGCAGGGUAUAGACCCGAAACCCGGUGAUCUAGCCAUGGGCAGGUUGAAGGUUGGGUAACACUAACUGGAGGACCGAACCGACUAAUGUUGAAAAAUUAGCGGAUGACUUGUGGCUGGGGGUGAAAGGCCAAUCAAACCGGGAGAUAGCUGGUUCUCCCCGAAAGCUAUUUAGGUAGCGCCUCGUGAAUUCAUCUCCGGGGGUAGAGCACUGUUUCGGCAAGGGGGUCAUCCCGACUUACCAACCCGAUGCAAACUGCGAAUACCGGAGAAUGUUAUCACGGGAGACACACGGCGGGUGCUAACGUCCGUCGUGAAGAGGGAAACAACCCAGACCGCCAGCUAAGGUCCCAAAGUCAUGGUUAAGUGGGAAACGAUGUGGGAAGGCCCAGACAGCCAGGAUGUUGGCUUAGAAGCAGCCAUCAUUUAAAGAAAGCGUAAUAGCUCACUGGUCGAGUCGGCCUGCGCGGAAGAUGUAACGGGGCUAAACCAUGCACCGAAGCUGCGGCAGCGACACUGUGUGUUGUUGGGUAGGGGAGCGUUCUGUAAGCCUGUGAAGGUGUGCUGUGAGGCAUGCUGGAGGUAUCAGAAGUGCGAAUGCUGACAUAAGUAACGAUAAAGCGGGUGAAAAGCCCGCUCGCCGGAAGACCAAGGGUUCCUGUCCAACGUUAAUCGGGGCAGGGUGAGUCGACCCCUAAGGCGAGGCCGAAAGGCGUAGUCGAUGGGAAACAGGUUAAUAUUCCUGUACUUGGUGUUACUGCGAAGGGGGGACGGAGAAGGCUAUGUUGGCCGGGCGACGGUUGUCCCGGUUUAAGCGUGUAGGCUGGUUUUCCAGGCAAAUCCGGAAAAUCAAGGCUGAGGCGUGAUGACGAGGCACUACGGUGCUGAAGCAACAAAUGCCCUGCUUCCAGGAAAAGCCUCUAAGCAUCAGGUAACAUCAAAUCGUACCCCAAACCGACACAGGUGGUCAGGUAGAGAAUACCAAGGCGCUUGAGAGAACUCGGGUGAAGGAACUAGGCAAAAUGGUGCCGUAACUUCGGGAGAAGGCACGCUGAUAUGUAGGUGAAGUCCCUCGCGGAUGGAGCUGAAAUCAGUCGAAGAUACCAGCUGGCUGCAACUGUUUAUUAAAAACACAGCACUGUGCAAACACGAAAGUGGACGUAUACGGUGUGACGCCUGCCCGGUGCCGGAAGGUUAAUUGAUGGGGUCAGCGCAAGCGAAGCUCUUGAUCGAAGCCCCGGUAAACGGCGGCCGUAACUAUAACGGUCCUAAGGUAGCGAAAUUCCUUGUCGGGUAAGUUCCGACCUG